ACAAUGGAGAGUUUGAUCCUGGCUCAGGAUGAACGCUAGCGGCAGGCUUAAUACAUGCAAGUCGUGGGGCAGCGCGGGUAGCAAUAUCUGGCGGCGACCGGCAAACGGGUGCGGAACACGUACGCAACCUUCCUUCAAGUGGGGGAUAGCCCAGGGAAACUUGGAUUAAUACCCCGUAAUAUUAUGAGGUGGCAUCAUCUUAUAAUUAUAGCUUCGGCGCUUGGAGAUGGGCGUGCGGCUGAUUAGGUAGUUGGCGGGGUAACGGCCCA
This 269-nucleotide ribosomal RNA is filed under the name Bacteroidota bacterium. RNAcentral's name for it is "partial 16S ribosomal RNA". It matches the Rfam family "Bacterial small subunit ribosomal RNA", at positions 1 to 267 of the family's 1533-position model. Lineage: Bacteria; Pseudomonadati; Bacteroidota. The record is from RNAcentral.